RNAcentral lists this ribosomal RNA (274 nucleotides) under uncultured bacterium. Its description in RNAcentral is "partial 16S ribosomal RNA". It matches the Rfam family "Bacterial small subunit ribosomal RNA", at positions 523 to 796 of the family's 1533-position model. The record is from RNAcentral.
AUACGGAGGGUGCAAGCGUUACUCGGAAUCACUGGGCGUAAAGUGCGCGCAGGCGGUCUUUUAAGUUGGAUGUGAAAGCCUACGGCUCAACCGUAGAACUGCAUCCAAAACUAUUAGACUAGAGUGUGGGAGAGGAAGAUGGAAUUAGUUAUGUAGGGGUAAAAUCCGUAGAGAUAACUAGGAAUACCAAAAGCGAAGGCAAUCUUCUGGAACACUACUGACGCUGAGGCGCGAAAGCGUGGGGAGCAAACAGGAUUAGAUACCCUAGUAGUCC